RNAcentral lists this long non-coding RNA (1209 nucleotides) under Oncorhynchus kisutch (coho salmon). RNAcentral's name for it is "lncRNA (ENSOKIG00005039922.1)". Lineage: Eukaryota; Metazoa; Chordata; Actinopteri; Salmoniformes; Salmonidae. The record is from RNAcentral.
ACCCCACGCCCUUCAAGACUCGGUCCUGCCCGAGAGAAGGUUUCUUUGGCUGCCACUUUAAAUAUUAGCCUGAUAUUAUCAUCAAAACCCCAUUUCACUCUGACAAACACAAGCAUAAUUCCCACCAUCACCUAUAUCCACCGGCCCCUCCGUCUCCUCCCCAGCCCCUCCGUCUCCUCCCCAACCCCUCCGUCUCCUCCCCAGCCUCUCUGUCUCCUCCCCAGCCUCUCUGUCUCCUCCCCAGCCUCUCCGUCUCCUCCCCAGCCACCGACCCCUCCGUCUCCUCCCCAGCCUCUCCGUCUCCUCCCCAGCCUCUCCGUCUCCUCCCCAGCCUCUCCGUCUCCUCCCCAGCCUCUCCGUCUCCUCCCCAGCCUCUCCGUCUCCUCCCCAGCCUCUCCGUCUCCUCCCCAGCCUCUCCGUCUCCUCCCCAGCCUCUCUGUCUCCUCCCCAGCCUCUCUGUCUCCUCCCCAGCCUCUCUGUCUCCUCCCCAGCCUCUCCGUCUCCUCCCCAGCCUCUCCGUCUCCUCCCCAGCCACCGACCCCUCCGUCUCCUCCCCAGCCUCUCCGUCUCCUCCCCAGCCUCUCCGUCUCCUCCCCAGCCUCUCCGUCUCCUCCCCAGCCUCUCCGUCUCCUCCCCAGCCUCUCCGUCUCCUCUAUCCACCGGCCUCUCUGUCUCCUCCCCAGCCUCUCUGUCUCCUCCCCAGCCUCUCCGUCUCCUCCCCAGCCUCUCCGUCUCCUCUAUCCACCGGCCUCUCUGUCUCCUCCCCAGCCUCUCUGUCUCCUCCCCAGCCUCUCCGUCUCCUCCCCAGCCUCUCCGUCUCCUCCCCAGCCUCUCCGUCUCCUCCCCAGCCUCUCCGUCUCCUCCCCAGCCUCUCCGUCUCCUCCCCAGCCUCUCCGUCUCCUCCCCAGCCUCUCCGUCUCCUCCCCAGCCUCUCCGUCUCCUCCCCAGCCACCGACCCCUCCCCAGCCUCUCCGUCUCCUCCCCAGCCUCUCUGUCUCCUCCCCAGCCUCUCCGUCUCCUCCCCAGCCUCUCCGUCUCCUCUAUCCACCGGCCUCUCUGUCUCCUCCCCAGCCUCUCUGUCUCCUCCCCAGCCUCUCUGUCUCCUCCCCAGCCUCUCCGUCUCCUCCCCAGCCACCGACCCCUCCGUCUCCUCUCUAUCCACCAGAGAGAAGGAGUCUUAUGCCACCAUGCUCUGGUAGUAUUUCCUGA